Cygnus olor (mute swan) is the source of this 1528-nucleotide long non-coding RNA. RefSeq lists it as uncharacterized. NCBI's taxonomy places the organism in Eukaryota, Metazoa, Chordata, Aves, Anseriformes, Anatidae. The transcript has 4 exons. The record is from RefSeq and is a predicted model, not a curated record.
AGAGCUGGACAAUGUAGGUGCAACUGCUGGUUUCUGGGUGAUCUCUAUGCCACUGAGGAGGAAGGAGUAGAGCUUUCUGCUGUUUUUAAGGCCCACACAACAAAUGAAAUUCUGUGACAACAUCUGUUAACAAAAAGAUCCGAUGGUUCAGGAAUGCAAAAAGGAAGACAUCACUUUCUCAUUCAACUGUCAAAGCACUGCUCAUCGUGUCCUCAGUUUUAUCUGAUUCUCUAAGCUCAAGGAUAAGUUAGUGUAUCUUAAUGGAUAAACAGGGCUCAAAAGAUUGUUGACAAUACUGGAAGUGGCUGGCUCUAUUUCUGAUAGAAAAGUAGAGGCUGAACCCCUCUCAUGGAAUGCUCUUCAUCAUGCUGAGUGUUGGUGGCCGCUAUAAUCUGUAUUACUUAGAAGAACUAUCAAACCAGGAAAAAAGACGUGCUUAUAAGGAACUACAAAGAAGUUGCAAGGUAGGACUCAUUAGUGUGUUUUGCACUGCAAGACCAGUCUUAGUUGAAGAAAUGAGAGAAACCACGCAUGUUAAAUCCAGGAAGGGGCAAGAAGAAGGAUGUGAGCACUGAUAUGAACCAACACUCAGUGGCGUACACAGCCCAAGAGGAGUCUUAUACAGUGGAAUUCAGGCAUUAUGAAUAUUGGAUGAUGAGUAUUCACAAGCCUGUGCUUUAUAGCUCUUCCAGACAUUUCACAAGAGUUUCCACGUGGUAAAUGGUGGGAUUUCCUCUAAGCAGCAAUACAGGAAACUUAAAACAGGAUGAUCCUGUCCCUGCUCAAAGGUCUAUUACAGAGAAGCACGUGAAUAUGCUUCACUGCAGGCCUUUGAACGGUGAUGAAACAAUUUUACAGUUAUUGCUAUGGUUUCACAGAAGCUCUUGCUACUCUAGACACAGAAAUUUUUCUUUCAUCUGAGUUUGAAACGAGGAUGUCAAGGAAUUCAUCUCUUUAGCUGUAAAUGCACAUCCAUAUUACUGCCAAAACACUCCUUUGGGUUUCCAGGGAUGCCAGACAUUAGAUGUAGCCCAAAGCCAGAGACGCUGCUGACCUCAGGAGUGCUGCCCCCUGUCCCUGCAGUGCUCCACGAGUUUCUCUUCAUUUUGGCAUUUGAAGGUCUGCGGAAGAAUUGAAUUUGGAGAGGUGAGGAGGUCAGUCCCAAUGGCAUUACUGAAAAAGGAAUACAGGUUGAAAACAUUAAAGGCACAGGGAAGAAAGCCAAGCAUCAACAUGUUAGUGAUAUCUGCUCCUUUUCUAGGUUACAGGCAGAAAAUUCAUUGCUUUUGAUGUAAAAUCCACCUGCAGAAACUGAAGAGAGAUUUUUCUUUAAGGAAAAUGGCAAACCCUGCCUCCUAUCUCCACUGUUGUGACAUACACCCAGAUUAGAUCGACGGUAGCCAUAUAGUUGCAAUGGAAUAAUUAGGUCUUUUUGCAGGUUUUGAAAUGAGUCUGAAUUUUCUCUACAGAUUUUUCUUUCGUUAUCAUUGCAGACUUUUUUUUUUUUUUUUAAUGAAAACAACAUUAU